Molecule: non-coding RNA, 781 nt
Organism: Schizosaccharomyces pombe (fission yeast)
Lineage: Eukaryota; Fungi; Ascomycota; Schizosaccharomycetes; Schizosaccharomycetales; Schizosaccharomycetaceae
Source: the annotation of a GenBank genome assembly
AAACAUCGAGCAAAGUGUGUCGUUAGUAGCAGUAAAAGAAAAAGAUGAAGAUGAAUAAAAAGCUCUAGACAAAUCAACUUAAAUCUUUACUAUGAAACCGUUAGGAAUAUAGCUUGAAAAAGCUCUCUGAGAAAAACUUAUUCGUGACGUACAAUCUCAGAGACAAGCUCUCCCUUUUCAUUCACCUUGUGCUUGAUCUGCUCGGGAACAGCACGUUCAGCAUAAUCUCCCUCUUCGUUGGGGACGUUGAUGUUCAAGCUUGUUGAUUUACUAGUGACAACUUCGGACGACAACGAAGAUUUGCUCAAAUAGAUGGAACCUCCAUCGCAUUGGUCGAUAACAAUCAUUGGAACGUGAUUCAUAACUUGGCAGCCAAAAUUGGAACACUUAGCAAUAUCAAAAGCGGCCACUAAAGUAUCUACUACAACGCUAGUACGUUUACAGUUGCUCAUGGAAACGGUGUUUAACUUUCCUUUAAUUAUAAUUGUGCAAUUGGAGCAACCGAAAAUUUGCACUGAGUGGUUGAGCUCCACAGAAUCCAAGACUAUACUGUGAUUGUCGACUUGGUUUUCAACAAACCACUUAGUAUUUUCCAACUCAAUGCGAGGUGGUUUAACGGGAGCAGUUUCCGCUGGCUUAGAAGGAGCAGAGCUUUUGAUUUUAGGCUUAGGACCAGGAGUGGGUCCCGUUUUACGUAAAUUCGGAUUUUUGUGGGUCAUUUCACUCUUAUCCACCUUACGAAGUCCGGAUGUAAUUCCCUCGCCUUUAUUAAUUUCGGCAA